GACGAACGCUGGCGGCGUGCUUAACACAUGCAAGUCGAACGGAAAGGCCUCUUUCGGGGGGUACUCGAGUGGCGAACGGGUGAGUAACACGUGAGUAACCUGCCCUUGACUUUGGGAUAACUUCAGGAAACUGGGGCUAAUACCGGAUAGGAGCUCCUGCUGCAUGGUGGGGGUUGGAAAGUUUCGGCGGUUGGGGGUGUACUCGCGGCUUAUCAGCUUGUUGGUGGGGUAGUGGCUUACCAAGGCUUUGUCGGGUAGCCGGCCUGAGAGGGUGACCGGCCACAUUGGGACUGGGAUACGGCCCAGACUCCUACGGGAGGCAGCAGGGGGGAAUAUUGCACAAAGGGUGGAAGCCUGAUGCAGCAACGCCGUGGGCGGGAUGACGGCCUUCGGGUUGGAAACCGCUUUCGCUCAUGACGAAGCUUUGUGUGACGGUAGUGGGUAAAGAAGCACCGGCUAACUACGUG
Molecule: ribosomal RNA, 467 nt
Filed under: uncultured bacterium
Lineage: Bacteria
Description: partial 16S ribosomal RNA
Rfam family: Bacterial small subunit ribosomal RNA
Source: RNAcentral